CUAACACAUGCAAGUCGAGGGGUAGAGUUAGCUUGCUAACUUGAGACCGGCGCACGGGUGCGUAACGCGUAUGCAAUCUACCUUGUACAGGGGGAUAGCCCAGAGAAAUUUGGAUUAAUACCCCAUGGUGUUUAGAAGUGGCAUCACUUUUUUACUAAAGUUCCAACGGUACAAGAUGAGCAUGCGUCCCAUUAGCUAGUUGGUAUGGUAACGGCAUACCAAGGCUAUGAUGGGUAGGGGUCCUGAGAGGGAGAUCCCCCACACUGGUACUGAGACACGGACCAGACUCCUACGGGAGGCAGCAGUGAGGAAUAUUGGUCAAUGGUCGCAAGACUGAACCAGCCAUGCCGCGUGCAGGAAGACGGUCCUAUGGAUUGUAAACUGCUUUUAUACAGGAAGAAACCCUCUCACGUGUGGGAGCUGACGGUA
Molecule: ribosomal RNA, 429 nt
Filed under: uncultured bacterium
Lineage: Bacteria
Description: bacterial SSU rRNA
Rfam family: Bacterial small subunit ribosomal RNA
Source: RNAcentral